GAUCCUGGCUUAGGAUGAACGCUAGCGGCAGGCUUAACACAUGCAAGUCGAGGGGUAUCACGCUUUCGGGCGUGAGAGACCGGCGCACGGGUGCGUAACGCGUAUACAAUCUACCUUUACAGAGGGAUAGCCCAGAGAAAUUUGGAUUAAUACCUCAUAGUAUUUUCGAAUGGCAUCAUUUGAUUAUUAAAGUUCCAACGGUAAAAGAUGAGUAUGCGUCCCAUUAGCUAGAUGGUAAGGUAACGGCUUACCAUGGCAACGAUGGGUAGGGGUCCUGAGAGGGAGAUCCCCCACACUGGUACUGAGACACGGACCAGACUCCUACGGGAGGCAGCAGUGAGGAAUAUUGGACAAUGGGCGCAAGCCUGAUCCAGCCAUGCCGCGUGCAGGAAGACGGUCCUAUGGAUUGUAAACUGCUUUUAUACAGGAAGAAACACCUCUACGUGUAGAGACUUGACGGUACUGUAUGAAUAAGCAUCGGCUAACUCCGUG
This 492-nucleotide ribosomal RNA is filed under the name uncultured bacterium. RNAcentral describes it as "bacterial SSU rRNA". It matches the Rfam family "Bacterial small subunit ribosomal RNA", at positions 15 to 507 of the family's 1533-position model. The record is from RNAcentral.